AUUGAACGCUGGCGGCAUGCCUAACACAUGCAAGUCGAGCGGACGAAGGGAGCUUGCUCCUGGCUUCAGCGGCGGACGGGUGAGUAAUGCCUAGGAAUCUACCUGGUCGAUGGGGAUAAGGUCCGUACACGGGACCUUAUCCCGCAUCCGUUCUGAGGUUGAACGUGGUGGUUCUUCGGACCUCACGCUAUUUGAUGAGCCUAGGACGGAUUAGCUAGUUGGUUGGGUAAAGGCCUACCAAGGCGACGAUCCGUAGCUGAUCUGAGAGGAUGAUCAGUCACACUGGAACUGAGACACGGUCCAGACUCCUACGGGAGGCAGCAGUAGGGAAUAUUCGGCAAUGGGCGAAAGCCUGAUCCAGCAAUGCCGCGUGUGUGAAGAAGGUCUUCGGAUCGUAAAGCACUGUAAGUUGGGAGGAAGGGAAGUAAGUUAAUACCUUGCUGUUUUGACGUUACCAACAGAAUAAGCACCGGCUAACUUCGUG
Molecule: ribosomal RNA, 484 nt
Filed under: uncultured bacterium
Lineage: Bacteria
Description: partial 16S ribosomal RNA
Rfam family: Bacterial small subunit ribosomal RNA
Source: RNAcentral